Molecule: ribosomal RNA, 253 nt
Filed under: uncultured bacterium
Lineage: Bacteria
Description: partial 16S ribosomal RNA
Rfam family: Bacterial small subunit ribosomal RNA
Source: RNAcentral
UACAGAGGGGGCUAGCGUUGUUCGGAAUUACUGGGCGUAAAGGGCGCGUAGGUGGCCUGUUAAGUCGAACGUGAAAUCCCCGGGCUCAACCCGGGAACUGCGUCCGAGACUGGCAGGCUCGAAUCCGGGAGAGGGAUGUGGAAUUCCAGGUGUAGCGGUGAAAUGCGUAGAUAUCUGGAGGAACACCGGUGGCGAAGGCGGCCACCUGGACGGUAACUGACGCUGAGACGCGAAAGCGUGGGGAGCAAACAGG